GAUGAAGAACGUAGCGAAAUGCGAUAAGUAAUGUGAAUUGCAGAAUUCAGUGAAUCAUCGAAUCUUUGAACGCACAUUGCGCCCGCCAGUAUUCUGGCGGGCAUGCCUGUUCGAGCGUCAUUUCAACCAUCAGGCCCCCAGUGCCUGGUGUUGGGGAUCGGCCCAGCCUUCCUGUAAGGCCGCCGGCCCCGAAAUCUAGUGGCGGUCUCGCUGUAGUCCUCCUCUGCGUAGUAGCACAACCUCGCAGUUGGAACGCGGCGGUGGCCAUGCCGUUAAACACCCCACUUCUGAAAGUUGACCUCGGAUCAGGUAGGAAUACCCGCUGAACUUAAGCAUAUCAAUAAGCGGAGGA
RNAcentral lists this unclassified non-coding RNA (352 nucleotides) under soil metagenome. RNAcentral's name for it is "partial contains 5.8S ribosomal RNA, internal transcribed spacer 2, and large subunit ribosomal RNA". The stretch from base 1 to 120 matches the Rfam family "5.8S ribosomal RNA", at positions 35 to 154 of the family's 154-position model. The record is from RNAcentral.